AAAAAAGACAUGAAAAGAAGAAACAGACGGUGGCCAUGGAAGUCAGAAUCCGCUAAGGAGUGUGUAACAACUCACCUGCCGAAUCAACUAGCCCUGAAAAUGGAUGGCGCUGGA
Pan troglodytes (chimpanzee) is the source of this 114-nucleotide ribosomal RNA. It matches the Rfam family "Eukaryotic large subunit ribosomal RNA", at positions 1214 to 1332 of the family's 3401-position model. NCBI's taxonomy places the organism in Eukaryota, Metazoa, Chordata, Mammalia, Primates, Hominidae. The record is from Rfam.